UUCGCAAUGCCCGAAAGGGUGACGAUGCGACGCCGCGUGAGCGAAGAAGGCCUUAGGGUUGUAAAGCUCUGUCGAGGGUUAUGAAAUAUAGAUGGGUUAAUACCCCAUUUAUUUGACAAAAGCCCAAAAGGAAGCCACGGCUAACUCUGUGCCAGCAGCCGCGGUAAUACAGAGGUGGCGAGCGUUGUUCGGUAUUAUUGGGCGUAAAGAGCACGUAGGUGGUUUUGUAAGUCAGGUGUGAAAGCCUUCUGUUCAAAGGAAGAACGGCAUCUGAAACUGCAGAUCUUGAGUGUAGGAGGGGAGAGUGGAACUUCUGGUGGAGCGGUGAAAUGCGUAGAUAUCAGAAGGAACGUCGGCGGCGAAAGCGACUCUCUGGCCUAUUACUGACACUGAGGUGCGAAAGUUAGGGGAGCAAACGGGAUUAGAUACCCCGGUAGUCCUAACUGUAAACGAUGGGCACUAAGUAGAGGGGUUUU
RNAcentral lists this ribosomal RNA (476 nucleotides) under uncultured anaerobic ammonium-oxidizing bacterium. RNAcentral describes it as "bacterial SSU rRNA". It matches the Rfam family "Bacterial small subunit ribosomal RNA", at positions 365 to 832 of the family's 1533-position model. The record is from RNAcentral.